UUUUCCUUUACUUCUGUCAUUCUAAAAUCCAUUUUAAUGCCCAUCCAUCAUGUUUGAAUACGAUUCAAAUACGAUUUACGGUAUUUGGUUUUAAAGUCUUGCUGUUUGUUGAUUUACGGAUUUUGUUUAGGAUUAAAGUUACAGCAAGCAUACAACACUGUAAUAAAACAUAAAACGGGACUGUGCUCACAAGGAUGAUAUGAGAACUUAUGACAUGGAAUGUAUAACUAUGAGCAAAAAAGACCUUCAAAGUUUUGUUUCAAACAAAGUUACAGAAUGCUAUCAAGUUAAAAAAGUUUCAUCAAGAGUUCAAGAAAUUUGUGGUAGAGUUUGAUUUGAAAGUUAGAAUGCAGCUACUGAAAGAGCACUUAGCCAGUACCAUAAGUCACAUUCACAGUGCCUACGAAAACUCAUGUUUUCAUGUUUUCAUUUUCAUUCUAUGCUAUGUAAAGAUGCCUCUAAUCACAAGGAUAGUAGUUUCUACUAUUAGACCAAUUUAUACCAGUUUUGUAGCAGGA
Vicia villosa (hairy vetch) is the source of this 518-nucleotide long non-coding RNA. RefSeq lists it as uncharacterized. The record is from RefSeq and is a predicted model, not a curated record. The transcript is spliced from 3 exons. Lineage: Eukaryota; Viridiplantae; Streptophyta; Magnoliopsida; Fabales; Fabaceae.